CAAGGAAUUUUCCGCAAUGGGCGAAAGCCUGACGGAGCAACGCCGCGUGGGGGAUGACACUUUUCGGAGCGUAAACCCCUUUUCUGUGGGAGGAAGAAUGACCGUACCGCAGGAAGAAGGCCCGGCUAACUACGUGCCAGCAGCCGCGGUAAUACGUAGGGGCCGAGCGUUGUCCGGAAUUACUGGGCGUAAAGCGCGCGCAGGCGGCUGAUCAAGCCUGACGUGAAAGCCCCCGGCUCAACCGGGGAGGGUCGUCGGGGACUGAUUGGCUUGAGGGCGGUAGGGGCCGGUGGAAUUCCCGGUGUAGUGGUGAAAUGCGUAGAGAUCGGGAGGAACACCAGUGGCGAAGGCGGCCGGCUGGGCCGACCCUGACGCUGAGGCGCGAAGGCGUGGGGAGCGAACGGG
This 405-nucleotide ribosomal RNA is filed under the name uncultured bacterium. RNAcentral's name for it is "bacterial SSU rRNA". It matches the Rfam family "Bacterial small subunit ribosomal RNA", at positions 355 to 776 of the family's 1533-position model. The record is from RNAcentral.